GAACCGCAUGGUUCAGACAUAAAAGGUGGCUUCGGCUACCACUUACAGAUGGACCCGCGGCGCAUUAGCUAGUUGGUGAGGUAACGGCUCACCAAGGCGACGAUGCGUAGCCGACCUGAGAGGGUGAUCGGCCACACUGGGACUGAGACACGGCCCAGACUCCUACGGGAGGCAGCAGUAGGGAAUCUUCCGCAAUGGACGAAAGUCUGACGGAGCAACGCCGCGUGAGUGAUGAAGGUUUUCGGAUCGUAAAGCUCUGUUGUUAGGGAAGAACAAGUGCCGUUCAAAUAGGGCGGCACCUUGACGGUACCUAACCAGAAAGCCACGGCUAACUACGUGCCAGCAGCCGCGGUAAUACGUAGGUGGCAAGCGUUGUCCGGAAUUAUUGGGCGUAAAGGGCUCGCAGGCGGUUUCUUAAGUCUGAUGUGAAAGCCCCCGGCUCAACCGGGGAGGGUCAUUGGAAACUGGGGAACUUGAGUGCAGAAGAGGAGAGUGGAAUUCCACGUGUAGCGGUGAAAUGCGUAGAGAUGUGGAGGAACACCAGUGGC
Molecule: ribosomal RNA, 548 nt
Filed under: Bacillus amyloliquefaciens
Lineage: Bacteria; Bacillati; Bacillota; Bacilli; Caryophanales; Bacillaceae
Description: bacterial SSU rRNA
Rfam family: Bacterial small subunit ribosomal RNA
Source: RNAcentral